RNAcentral lists this ribosomal RNA (496 nucleotides) under uncultured bacterium. Its description in RNAcentral is "partial 16S ribosomal RNA". It matches the Rfam family "Bacterial small subunit ribosomal RNA", at positions 28 to 507 of the family's 1533-position model. The record is from RNAcentral.
GAUGAACGCUGGCGGCGUGCCUAAUACAUGCAAGUCGAGCGAACAGACGAGGAGCUUGCUCCUCUGACGUUAGCGGCGGACGGGUAGUAACACGUGGAUAACCUACCUAUAAGACUGGGAUAACUUCGGGAAACCGGAGCUAAUACCGGAUAAUAUAUUGAACCGCAUGGUUCAAUAGUGAAAGACGGUUUUGCUGUCACUUAUAGAUGGAUCCGCGCCGCAUUAGCUAGUUGGUAAGGUAACGGCUUACCAAGGCAACGAUGCGUAGCCGACCUGAGAGGGUGAUCGGCCACACUGGAACUGAGACACGGUCCAGACUCCUACGGGAGGCAGCAGUAGGGAAUCUUCCGCAAUGGGCGAAAGCCUGACGGAGCAACGCCGCGUGAGUGAUGAAGGUCUUCGGAUCGUAAAACUCUGUUAUUAGGGAAGAACAAAUGUGUAAGUAACUAUGCACGUCUUGACGGUACCUAAUCAGAAAGCCACGGCUAACUACGUG